This is a long non-coding RNA of Neocloeon triangulifer, 368 nucleotides long. RefSeq lists it as uncharacterized. The transcript has 3 exons. NCBI's taxonomy places the organism in Eukaryota, Metazoa, Arthropoda, Insecta, Ephemeroptera, Baetidae. The record is from RefSeq and is a predicted model, not a curated record.
CGCUCGGCGGUUGGCCGGUAUGGUUUGUUAAAAAAGAGAUGCUGCCGAAAAAAUCUUCAAAAUUUGCUAUUCGCCCGCUUUAUGCACAGCUGAAGAAAACGCCGAUUGCCUGUUAAAUAUUAAGAUGAGCAGCAGCCUCCUAAGUACGGCGCCCAGGUACCAACCCUUAUAGGCUCUAGCUUCAAAAGUGCGUGGAACAAAUAUCUAGCAGUUGCUGCAAGUGCAAAGGAUGCGCCCGCUCGGCAUAGAAACAGACGCGCGACAAUUCGGUUCUCUCUUGGGAGAAAUGAUUUUACGGCAAGAUGACGAGUGAGUUCCAUUUGAAAUUAUUGUGAUUUUUUUCUAUUUUUUGUCAAUAAAUAGUCACC